RNAcentral lists this ribosomal RNA (383 nucleotides) under uncultured bacterium. RNAcentral describes it as "bacterial SSU rRNA". It matches the Rfam family "Bacterial small subunit ribosomal RNA", at positions 28 to 409 of the family's 1533-position model. The record is from RNAcentral.
GACGAACGCUGGCGGCGUGCUUAACACAUGCAAGUCGAGCGGUAAGGCCCUUUCGGGGGUACACGAGCGGCGAACGGGUGAGUAACACGUGGGUGACCUGCCCUCAGCUCUGGGAUAAGCCUGGGAAACCGGGUCUAAUACCGGAUAUGACUCCAUGACGCAUGUUGUGGGGUGGAAAGCCUUGUGCGGCUGAGGAUGGGCCCGCGGCCUAUCAGCUUGUUGGUGGGGUGGAUGGCCUACCAAGGCGACGACGGGUAGCCGGCCUGAGAGGGCGACCGGCCGACACUGGGACUGAGACACGGCCCAGACUCCUACGGGAGGCAGCAGUGGGGAAGUCUUGCGCAAUGGGCGAAAGCCUGACGCAGCGACGCCGCGUGAGGGAU